GGCUGGGUAGCUCAGCUGGUUAGAGCGCACGACUCAUAAUCGUGAGGUCGGGAGUUCAAGUCUCCCCCCCGCCACCA
RNAcentral lists this transfer RNA (77 nucleotides) under Oceanicaulis alexandrii. Its description in RNAcentral is "tRNA-Met". It matches the Rfam family "tRNA". From Rfam's summary of the family: Transfer RNA (tRNA) molecules are approximately 80 nucleotides in length. Their secondary structure includes four short double-helical elements and three loops (D, anti-codon, and T loops). Further hydrogen bonds mediate the characteristic L-shaped molecular structure. tRNAs have two regions of fundamental functional importance: the anti-codon, which is responsible for specific mRNA codon recognition, and the 3' end, to which the tRNAs corresponding amino acid is attached (by aminoacyl-tRNA synthetases). tRNAs cope with the degeneracy of the genetic code in two manners: having more than one tRNA (with a specific anti-codon) for a particular amino acid; and 'wobble' base-pairing, i.e. permitting non-standard base-pairing at the 3rd anti-codon position. The record is from RNAcentral. RNAcentral also lists the same sequence under 11 other names. Lineage: Bacteria; Pseudomonadati; Pseudomonadota; Alphaproteobacteria; Maricaulales; Maricaulaceae.